GAAACUCGUCAGUCUAUUCUUGUUCUGAGAAAUGAAGGCUAUUCCAUGCGAGAGAUUGCCAAGAAACUGAAGAUCUCAUACAACGCUGUGUACUACUCCCUUCACAGAACAGGGCAAAGUGGCUCUAACCAGAAUAGAAAGAGUGGGAGGCCCAGGUGCACAACUAACAGGAGGGCUCCAAAAUGGCAAGGAAAUGUAAAGAGAACUAUUCUAUGACACUCCCCCCUUUGGAAUUAUUCUUAGGACAGAACAUGGACACAAUUCAAUUGGGAUCAAGAAGGAGAAAUGCUGAAGUAUCUGAAUGGUCUUUGGAGGAUGUCUUCCAGUGGCUUCAACAGAAUCAAUUGAAGGACUACACCUAUCUUUUCCAAGUUUAAAAAAAAUUGAAACACCUGUCAAAAUGCCUGCUUUGUUUAACUGCCCAAUAUGCAACAAGCGUUUCUUCUCCUUUAUAAAACAGAUUCGCCACAUUGGUCUAUAUCACCAGAGUGAGCCAGUGUUCCUGUUAACAUGUGGACUUGGAGGUCGCAUGAAAACCUGUAAAUGCUUUGCAUUUAUACAGAAAUCACAAAGAUUUGCUGAAAGAUAGGUCUAAUGGUUCUGUUAUCCCUGUGUCUGACUUCAUCGAGGAAGACGUGGACGAUGAUGAUCCUGAUCUCGCUUGGCUGCCUGCAACUAAUGUUAUUGAGUCCGUGGACUACAAAACUGAGGACCUGGUUAAAAGCCUUAAGAGAAACCUCUGCCUUCAUAUGUUGAAGAUCUGAGAGAAGCAUUGUGUUCCUGUGACUGUGCAGAACAGUUUAGUGGAGGACCUUCAUUCCAUUUUUGAUUAAUUCCUGUCCCACUACAGCGAGGAAUUUAAAUUCCACCUUCGGGAAGAUUCAUAUCAAUGUCGAUGAGGGCAAUGACUUGUGUGAGCUAAACCAGACAAAGGUUUUGAAGAGUGUAUGCGAAGCAUCACCGCAUAGUGGAUGCAGGAGCAAUACUGCUGCAAGAAAUGGGAAUAGCAAGACAGAGAGAGAUACAUCUGAGUGGUGAAGAACAGGACAGAGCCAGGACAGAGCCAAUACAUCCCACUACCUUACGUUUUGAAGGUGGCACAAAAUGGAGAUGUCUGGGCGAGCUUAAAUGGAGAAGAAGAAGAACCUGCAAACUAUUAAAUCUUGAAUGAUGUCACAGACAGGGAUUCUUUUCAAGAGGAAUCCUUUAUUCUCGCAAAAGCAAAUGGUCCGGCGUAAUUUUUAUAUACAGUUGAAGUCGGAAGUUUA
This 1268-nucleotide long non-coding RNA is filed under the name Salmo salar (Atlantic salmon). Its description in RNAcentral is "lncRNA (ENSSSAG00000094175.1)". The record is from RNAcentral. Lineage: Eukaryota; Metazoa; Chordata; Actinopteri; Salmoniformes; Salmonidae.